Molecule: ribosomal RNA, 1372 nt
Filed under: uncultured Lactococcus sp.
Lineage: Bacteria; Bacillati; Bacillota; Bacilli; Lactobacillales; Streptococcaceae
Description: bacterial SSU rRNA
Rfam family: Bacterial small subunit ribosomal RNA
Source: RNAcentral
GGACGAACGCUGGCGGCGUGCCUAAUACAUGCAAGUUGAGCGCUGAAGGUUGGUACUUGUACCGACUGGAUGAGCAGCGAACGGGUGAGUAACGCGUGGGGAAUCUGCCUUUGAGCGGGGGACAACAUUUGGAAACGAAUGCUAAUACCGCAUAAAAACUUUAAACACAAGUUUUAAGUUUGAAAGAUGCAAUUGCAUCACUCAAAGAUGAUCCCGCGUUGUAUUAGCUAGUUGGUGAGGUAAAGGCUCACCAAGGCGAUGAUACAUAGCCGACCUGAGAGGGUGAUCGGCCACAUUGGGACUGAGACACGGGCCAAACUCCUACGGGAGGCAGCAGUAGGGAAUCCUCGGCAAUGGACGAAAGUCUGACCGAGCAACGCCGCGUGAGUGAAGAAGGUUUUCGGAUCGUAAAACUCUGUUGGUAGAGAAGAACGUUGGUGAGAGUGGAAAGCUCAUCAAGUGACGGUAACUACCCAGAAAGGGACGGCUAACUACGUGCCAGCAGCCGCGGUAAUACGUAGGUCCCGAGCGUUGUCCGGAUUUAUUGGGCGUAAAGCGAGCGCAGGUGGUUUAUUAAGUCUGGUGUAAAAGGCAGUGGCUCAACCAUUGUAUGCAUUGGAAACUGGUAGACUUGAGUGCAGGAGAGGAGAGUGGAAUUCCAUGUGUAGCGGUGAAAUGCGUGGAUAUAUGGAGGAACACCGGUGGCGAAAGCGGCUCUCUGGCCUGUAACUGACACUGAGGCUCGAAAGCGUGGGGAGCAAACAGGAUUAGAUACCCUGGUAGUCCCACGCCGUAAACGAUGAGUGCUAGAUGUAGGGAGCUAUAAGUUCUCUGUAUCGCAGCUAACGCAAUAAGCACUCCGCCUGGGGAGUACGACCGCAAGGUUGAAACUCAAAGGAAUUGACGGGGGCCCGCACAAGCGGUGGGGCAUGUGGUUUAAUUCGAAGCAACGCGAAGAACCUUACCAGGUCUUGACAUACUCGUGCUAUUCCUAGAGAUAGGAAGUUCCUUCGGGACACGGGAUACAGGUGGUGCAUGGUUGUCGUCAGCUCGUGUCGUGAGAUGUUGGGUUAAGUCCCGCAACGAGCGCAACCCCUAUUGUUAGUUGCCAUCAUUAAGUUGGGCACUCUAACGGGACUGCCGGUGAUAAACCGGAGGAAGGUGGGGAUGACGUCAAAUCAUCAUGCCCCUUAUGACCUGGGCUACACACGUGCUACAAUGGAUGGUACAACGAGUCGCGAGACAGUGAUGUUUAGCUAAUCUCUUAAAACCAUUCUCAGUUCGGAUUGUAGGCUGCAACUCGCCUACAUGAAGUCGGAAUCGCUAGUAAUCGCGGAUCAGCACGCCGCGGUGAAUACGUUCCCGGGCCUUG